This 253-nucleotide ribosomal RNA is filed under the name uncultured bacterium. RNAcentral's name for it is "partial 16S ribosomal RNA". It matches the Rfam family "Bacterial small subunit ribosomal RNA", at positions 524 to 776 of the family's 1533-position model. The record is from RNAcentral.
CACGAAGGGGGCUAGCGUUGCUCGGAAUUACUGGGCGUAAAGCGCACGUAGGCGGAUUGUUAAGUCGGGGGUGAAAUCCUGGAGCUCAACUCCAGAACUGCCUUUGAUACUGGGGAUCUCGAGUCCGGAAGAGGUGAGUGGAACUCCGAGUGUAGAGGUGAAAUUCGUAGAUAUUCGGAAGAACACCAGUGGCGAAGGCGGCUCACUGGUCCGGUACUGACGCUGAGGUGCGAAAGCGUGGGGAGCAAACAGG